Molecule: ribosomal RNA, 609 nt
Filed under: uncultured Thermoprotei archaeon
Lineage: Archaea; Thermoproteati; Thermoproteota; Thermoprotei
Description: bacterial SSU rRNA
Rfam family: Archaeal small subunit ribosomal RNA
Source: RNAcentral
CUACAUGGCCCCUGGAUUGGACUGCGGCCGAUCAGGCAGUUGGCGAGGUAAUGGCCCACCAAACCUAUAACCGGUACGGGCUCUGAGAGGAGAAGCCCGGAGAUGGGCACUGAGACAAGGGCCCAGGCCCUAUGGGGCGCAGCAGGCGCGAAACCUCUGCAAUAGGCGAAAGCCUGACAGGGUUACUCUGAGUGAUUUCCGCUAAGGGGAUCUUUUGGCACCUCUAAAAAUGGUGCAGAAUAAGGGGUGGGCAAGUCUGGUGUCAGCCGCCGCGGUAAUACCAGCACCCCGAGUGGUCGGGACGAUUAUUGGGCCUAAAGCAUCCGUAGCCGGUUCUGCAAGUCUUCCGUUAAAUCCAGCCGCUCAACGGAUGGGCCGCGGAGGAUACUAUAGGACUAGGAGGCGGGAGAGGCAAGCGGUACUCAGUGGGUAGGGGUAAAAUCCUUUGAUCCAUUGAAGACCACCAGUGGCGAAGGCGGCUUGCCAGAACGCGCUCGACGGUGAGGGAUGAAAGCUGGGGGAGCAAACCGGAUUAGAUACCCGGGUAGUCCCAGCUGUAAACGAUGCANACUCGGUGAUGGGCUAGCCUUGUGCCAGCCCAGUGCCGCA